This 669-nucleotide long non-coding RNA is filed under the name Capra hircus (goat). RNAcentral's name for it is "lncRNA (ENSCHIG00010025260.1)". The record is from RNAcentral. Lineage: Eukaryota; Metazoa; Chordata; Mammalia; Artiodactyla; Bovidae.
GCCUCUCUCGUCCUUCAGCAUGGUUACCUGAGUAAUGAAUCCCCCAUCAUACCUCAAUCAGGCUCUCCACCAUUGAUGGAGCCUGCAGCUUGUCCUGGCCUCUGCUCCAACGCCCACCACGUUAAUGGAAUGAUGCUUUCUCCCUGUGAGUGGUGACCUUGAACCUGGAGACCCAGGUCUCAUCUUUGCACUCCAGCCGCUGGCGUGCAGCAGGUGGGCAGCAAGUGCAGGAGGCAGGGAAGGGAGAAGGGGAGAGAAGGUCACUCCUUCCUGCUGAUUCAGGUCAACCCGUGUGUCAAGUUCUACCCUUGUUUCCUCUGCCAGAUACUCUUGCACCACGUGGACACACAGCUCAUGCCCUCGUCUCCUUUAGGCCUCUCCUCCAACGUCAGUUCUCCAAUGUCCUGGACUGCAGUUCCCAGGAACUACAUUCUCCCAGACCCCAUCUUGAUCCCUACUUUCCUCCAUGCUUUCUUGUUCCCUUCCACCACCACUGGUCUUUCUCCAUGCUCAAUUUAUCUACUUUCUCUCUCUGAAAUGUGAGCUCCAUGUGGGCAGCUGUCUUUGAUUUGUUCUCUGCUGUGUCCACAGCACCUAGUAGGUGCUCACUAAUCAUCUGUGGCACGAAUUCUCCAAAACCACCUUACCAAAUUUGUUUCUCCCUAUGCA